RNAcentral lists this unclassified non-coding RNA (139 nucleotides) under soil metagenome. RNAcentral describes it as "partial internal transcribed spacer 1". The record is from RNAcentral.
UCAAAACAGCGGCCUUCGGGCCUCGCUGCACCCUUGUCUUUUGCGCACCGUAUUGUUUCCUCGGCGGGCUUGCCUGCCGGUUGGACAUCAAAAAACCUUUUUGUAGUUGCAAUCAGCGUCAGAAAAACAAUAAUUAUUA